GCCUUGUGUCCAGUGCCCUAAACUGUCCCAGUUCCGGGGCGCACAUCAACCACAGAAGAGUGGAUAAGAAAUCGGACAGCUGGCACCCUGACACGCCAUGGCCGGAAGUGAAACGGUCCUGACGACGCAGGACGCACCCAGGAGAGCAGGAGCCAGCAGUUCCCGCCCUCCUGGCUGCCUCCAGGGCUCUCUGUGCCCCCUUCCUGGAGGUCACCUUUCCCUGCAUCUCUGCGGGCUCCUAGCUCCUCAGAGACGCUUUCUCCGGUCAUCUGAUCCUCGAUGCGUACCAGGGACUCAAAGAAACCAGGAUGUCUGCCAAAACUUAAAGGACACCAGGAGGGUCCCCAAAGCGACAGACUUCUCUGCAUCUGGAGGAAAUGGCUAUAUUUGAAAAUAACACCGACUUUUUCAAAGGGUAACCGUAUAGCAAGAGCAAACUCUGUGUGAGCCUCCCUCUUCAGAUGGCUGGUCUUUCACAAUGAGAAGAGCUUGGGUGCCACAAAAUGAAGGAGGAACCAAGGCUGCCUGCAAACCUCAGGCAGCACAAAAGCCUGAUUGCUGCCACCCAGUCGAUUUAGAUUUACUGCAUUUUAAAAUUCAAAUCCAGAAGUUCCCUUGUGGUGCAGCAGGUUAAACAUCCCAGGACACUGCAGGGGCACGGGUUCAAUCCCUAGCCCAAGAACUUCCACAUGCCAUGGGUGUGGCCAGAAAAAAAAAAAAAAAAAGAUUCAAGCACCAUAUAACUGUUCAUCAUUCGUAAUCACCCUUUUGGUUUUUGUUUAGCUGGUUUCUUUUUUCAUUAUUUGAGAAUAAUUUCAAUAGUGGCUUCAUCAUGACAUUGU
RNAcentral lists this long non-coding RNA (842 nucleotides) under Sus scrofa (pig). Its description in RNAcentral is "lncRNA (ENSSSCG00035014945.1)". Lineage: Eukaryota; Metazoa; Chordata; Mammalia; Artiodactyla; Suidae. The record is from RNAcentral.